AUGAACGCUGGCGGCGUGCCUAAUACAUGCAAGUCGAGCGAACGGACGAGAAGCUUGCUUCUCUGAUGUUAGCGGCGGACGGGUGAGUAACACGUGGAUAACCUACCUAUAAGACUGGGAUAACUUCGGGAAACCGGAGCUAAUACCGGAUGAUAUUUUGAACCGCAUGGUUCAAAAGUGAAAGACGGUCUUUCUGUCACUUAUAGAUGGAUCCGCGCUGCAUUAGCUAGUUGGUAAGGUAACGGCUUACCAAGGCAACGAUGCAUAGCCGACCUGAGAGGGUGAUCGGCCACACUGGAACUGAGACACGGUCCAGACUCCUACGGGAGGCAGCAGUAGGGAAUCUUCCGCAAUGGGCGAAAGCCUGACGGAGCAACGCCGCGUGAGUGAUGAAGGUCUUCGGAUCGUAAAACUCUGUUAUUAGGGAAGAACAUAUGUGUAAGUAACUGUGCACAUCUUGACGGUACCUAAUCAGAAAGCCACGGCUAACUACGUG
This 496-nucleotide ribosomal RNA is filed under the name uncultured bacterium. RNAcentral describes it as "partial 16S ribosomal RNA". It matches the Rfam family "Bacterial small subunit ribosomal RNA", at positions 29 to 507 of the family's 1533-position model. The record is from RNAcentral.